UACGAAGGGGGCUAGCGUUGCUCGGAAUCACUGGGCGUAAAGGGCGCGUAGGCGGCCGAUCAAGUCAGGGGUGAAAGCCUGUGGCUCAACCACAGAAUUGCCUUUGAUACUGUUUGGCUCGAGACCGGAAGAGGUUGGUGGAACUGCGAGUGUAGAGGUGAAAUUCGUAGAUAUUCGCAAGAACACCAGUGGCGAAGGCGGCCAACUGGUCCGGUUCUGACGCUGAGGCGCGAAAGCGUGGGGAGCAAACAGG
RNAcentral lists this non-coding RNA (253 nucleotides) under uncultured bacterium. RNAcentral's name for it is "partial 16S ribosomal RNA". It matches the Rfam family "Bacterial small subunit ribosomal RNA", at positions 524 to 776 of the family's 1533-position model. The record is from RNAcentral. RNAcentral also lists the same sequence under 3 other names.